GUGCAGCAGACGAGAAAACUUCACACUGUGCGAAAGCACGAUGAGGGAAUCCCAAGUGCUUGCACGUAAGUGUAAGCUGUUUCUCUGUCUAAAACGCAGAGAGAGUAAGGGCUGGGUAAGACGGGUGCCAGCCGCCGCGGUAAUACCUGCAGCUCAAGUGGUGACCGUUAUUAUUGGGCCUAAAACGUCCGUAGCCGGUUUAAUAAAUGCCUGGGUAAAUUGUGUAGCUUAACUAUACAAAUUCCGGGUAGACUGUUAAACUUGAGACCGGGAGAAGUUAGAGGUACUCCUGGGGUAGAGGUGAAAUUCUGUAAUCCUAGGGGGACCACCAGUGGCGAAGGCGUCUAACUAGAACGGGUCUGACGGUGAGGGACGAAGCCCUGGGGCGCAAAC
RNAcentral lists this ribosomal RNA (393 nucleotides) under uncultured microorganism. RNAcentral describes it as "bacterial SSU rRNA". It matches the Rfam family "Archaeal small subunit ribosomal RNA", at positions 330 to 724 of the family's 1478-position model. The record is from RNAcentral.